UACAGAGGGUGCAAGCGUUGUUCGGAAUUAUUGGGCGUAAAGGGAGUGUAGGCGGUCCAUUAAGUCUUCUGUGAAAUCUACGGGCUUAGCCUGUAACGUGCAGAGGAAACUGGUGGACUUGAGUGUCGGAGAGGAUAGGGGAAUACCCGGUGUAGAGGUGAAAUUCGUAGAGAUCGGGUGGAACACCAGUGGCGAAGGCGCCUAUCUGGCUGACAACUGACGCUGAGACUCGAAAGCAUGGGGAGCAAACAGG
RNAcentral lists this ribosomal RNA (253 nucleotides) under uncultured bacterium. RNAcentral's name for it is "partial 16S ribosomal RNA". It matches the Rfam family "Bacterial small subunit ribosomal RNA", at positions 524 to 776 of the family's 1533-position model. The record is from RNAcentral.